GUGCAGCUGCGACGUGAGGUAGGCGAUGGUGCCGGCGCGCUGCUCCAGCUCGGCCGACAGCACGCUCAGCUUGUGGCUCUUCAGCUUCAGCUCCUCCAGAUUUCAGAGCUAACACGAUUGCCCUCCUACCUGAAAUAACUGAAUCUGCCAUGACAGAGAGAGAAACUGCUAUGGAGCUCCUCCCUCCAUGAGCCUGGACCUCAGCUUGAGCUGUGAUUCCCCAACUGCCUCAAAUCACCCCAGGAGUUCUGAGUUCUCUGCAGUUUUGGAGGCCCUGAAACUCCACUAGUCAGAUUUCUGUCCUCAAUCUUCUUUCCACAAGGGCCUGUUGGGAAACAAGCCUCAUAUAAUUCUGCCUUUUAUGCAUGAAAUGGAAGCUUAAUGUAUCUCGGCUUCUAUGCCCUACCUAUGGCUCCUCCUGGAAUUUUCCAACCAGGCUAAUUCAGGCACCAGCCAAACAAUGAGGAAUCUGGCCCUAGUCCAUCCUUCCUCUCUAGGGCUCUGGAACAGUCUGAGUCAUCCCCUCCUGAGCAGGUUGUCCCCAUCUUCUCCCUGAGCCUGUCUCCCCUGCUGCAGCACCUGCGAGAUGCCUAAUCCCAUCUCCAGGACCAGCGCCGUACUUAGAAUGACGCUUGCUUUGCUGCUUCCUCUCUGCUCCUUGAAAAUCCACCCUUGGUUACACAGACUGGCUGCUCUCUUUAGGGUUUUGUGGGCGCUGUCGAAGGAAGGGCCGGGGACAAUUUAUUCUCUGGACAGUUGGUCUCUGGAGCUGGUCAUUAGCAAUGCUCUUUUGCCCAGUGACCAACCCUCUAAAAGUGGCUCAGAAAAUCUGGCCAAAAACUAGACGAGGGAAGCAGCCCCUUGAACAAAGUCCUCCCCUUAUACCCUGCGAGGCCCUCUCUAACCUCAACUGGCGGCUCCUAUUGGUCUUGGAGCCCAGGAAAAGCUUUCAAACAUUAGACACACGGUAUUCUUCACAGGAUUCUUAGAAGACUAGAGAAAUCUGCCAUCUUUCCCCCUCCCCUCCUGGUCCUGAGGAACCAGUCCCAGGAAGAAAGCUCCAUGACCUGGGGCUCUUCAGAGGGAGUAAGAAAGUGUCCCCCCCUCCCCAAGAAAAGUCCCGCUAAAGGGAUGGCUUCUCAUAGUUUGUUUCUAAAGCCUGAUCACCAGGACUUAGUUUCUCAGUGUGCAGUCUCUGGUCUUUGAGGAUUAUGGGACACAGUAUCAGUGUGAGGCUCAGUGUGACAAUAGGGGUCGUGCAGGGGGGAACCUGAAGAGCUUUCUCUGGGGAUGCUCCCGUAGUCAGACUCUUACUGCCGAUUAAUCUGUGUCUUUUUCUGAACCUUGCCUGGGGAACAAAAGGCUGGUGAGGCUGUAAUGUGAUUAAGUGGAAAAAUGAGUACUUGGUGAUGCACUGGAAAUGAAUGGAAAUGAGCCGUGUUUUAGAAGAAAUCAGAUCGGCUCCUAAAUGAUGUCAGAAAAAUAAAUCAUCUUGAACAGAA
This is a long non-coding RNA of Antechinus flavipes (yellow-footed antechinus), 1502 nucleotides long. RefSeq lists it as uncharacterized. The transcript has 2 exons. Lineage: Eukaryota; Metazoa; Chordata; Mammalia; Dasyuromorphia; Dasyuridae. The record is from RefSeq and is a predicted model, not a curated record.